Equus asinus (donkey) is the source of this 1758-nucleotide long non-coding RNA. The record is from Ensembl. Lineage: Eukaryota; Metazoa; Chordata; Mammalia; Perissodactyla; Equidae.
GUUCCACGGCGCCGGGAGCAGCAGGCAGAGCCGACCACGUGGCAGUGACGCCCGCCUGCGGCUGCCCGCGAGACGGGAGCGCCAGAAAUGCGCGCAAGCGCACACGGGCAGCUCCGUAAGCUUCAGGCCCACGCCGCGCAGGCGCGCUCCUGUUCGCUCGGCUGCGUGGGAGCGGAAUCCGGGAGCCCAGCCUGGACUUGAGGCAGGUCGGGAAGAUGCUGGGCACCAGCACUGCCUGCAGGGACAGAAGAAAAACUCUCUGAAGGAUUGUGCGGCAGUGGCUCGGCCCCGCGAGGUCACACACUCACUGAUUUGUGAGCAAAACGGAGACCAGUGUCUACUUUACGGUAACGACCCUCCCAGCAGGCCGCACCUUGACCUUCUGGACGUGGUGUCCCACAGUUUCGUUCACAAGGCAUUGGUGGAGCGCCGUGCCACUCUGGCAGCCAAGGAGCAUAAGCCACGGCUCAAGGCCCAGAGGUAGGACCAGCGGGACCAAACUGCAGGGUGCAAGGGGCAGCAGCGAGAGGCCCAGAAGAGGAAGAGCCUGGUGGACAUGAAGAGGGCACGGGCAGAGGCGAGGCCAACAGGGACAGUGAUGCUGAGGACCCUCGACUAACUGCGAACCGAAUUCCUGAAAAUGUAAUCAUCACUUCUUAAAAGCUGAUGUGGGCUGUUUGUAUCGCACAAGCAUUAUGGGAGACAACCAUUUUAUUGUGCAAAAGGAUGUUAUUUGGAAAUUCAGAAAGGACACAGCCAAAGCAAGUCACAUGGCCAAGCCUGGAUUCGAGAUGUGGGGAAUUCAACUCUACCUCUUUAGUGGGCAGAACUGCAAAAUCACAUGUCAGAGAGCAUGGUUACAGGGAGAGUAAAGAAUUCAAAAAUUUAAGGAAAUUAAUUCAUUCCCUCAGAAGAAGAAACUGAGGCUUAAAGGAUUUAAAUCAGUUGUCCAAGUUCACGUGUCUAGUGCAUUGUAGAGUCAGAAUUAAAACCAAGGAUUAUCAGAUUCCAGAGCUAUGAUCCAACACAUACUGACCUUUCUUUCCAAUAAAAGGUCUUUCUUCCCUUGUCUUCUAUAACACAACUUCCCUGGCACUGCUCGUAACUCACUAGUGAUCAGUUAUGUCUCCUUUGCUGGUUCUUCCACGUCUGCCUAGCCCUUAGUCAUUAUACCAGGUGGAGAUACUCCCAGAACUCUGCUGUGGACCUCUUUCUUUACACACUCUAUCCUGAAGUCCAUAGAACCCCAAAAGAUAUGUGGAUAGAAGCCCCAUGACCUUGGAUGGGGAAUAAAAGAUGUCUUUAUUUUCACAAGCAGCUGAAUGAAACGCCUCUUUUCCUUUAAUUCUAAAUGAAAGCUAUAAAUUAUAUUAGUUUUAGCCAUACCUGAGACUUUGUCAUGAGUAGAAAUAACCAGUAACUUCAUGUCACAAUACAGUUUUUGCAAGAAUCUUGAUAUCGUUUAUGUUCGCCAACUUUGAAAUCACAGGAGUUAUUAGACUUCAGAUAAAUCUUGAUAUUUAACAUUUUAAUGCGGAAGCACAUAGGUUGACUAUAUUGCGAAUUUAUUUUUGAAAUAUUUUUGGCAGUACAUAUUUCAGUACAAUUGUUUCAGUUUGUAAUCCAAUGCAUUGUAUUUAAAAACAUUUAUAUGACAAGGGUCUUUAGGUAUUAUGAGACUAGCAAAAUCUACAGAGUUAAAAAAAUAAAUUUAAAAAAGUUAAUAACUCCUUUUAUAUAUAUACUUGCUAAUAUUAU